UGCUUGUCAAAACUUUUAUGUUGUUUAAUGAUCUGAUUCCUGUACUGCAUGGACACUGAAAGCUGGCAAGGCUUUUUAUAGUUCUUAUAAUACUGAUGUUAUGCUAAAAUAUGUAGGCUCGUUAGAAAUGGGCAUGGGUCUCAUCUAGGCCGUGUCUAGUAAAACCCAAAUCUGGACCUGAAACUUAAACCCACCCAGACUAUAGGAUCCGAAAAAUCCAGACCUUCACCAGAUCCAAUGAGUCUAGCAGGUUUGGCGCUUCAAAUGCAUACACGAUGGUUCUUAAACUUGCAACGAGUUUCUCCUUCUUUUGUUGCUCACUUAAAAGGAUGAUUAAAUUAAAUAAAGUUAGCAAACGCUGAGCUAAAUCCUCAGUCACCAUUGCAAAGUUGCAAUAGCUAUACAUAUAAAAUUAUUCUACUAUUCUUGGACAAAACAUCCUAAAUUGAUUCUUACGACGGUAUGAGCUUUACUUUAUGUUGCAAUUUUAAUCUGUAAUUUAAUAAUCUGAAAUAUAGAAUCAAUAGGAUCCAUGGGUCAAAUUUGGUUCAGGUUUGGGUCUUAAAGAUUGAGCGCAGAUUCAUACCGGAUUUUGAACACCUAGAUCAAAUGUGCCCAUGUUCAAGUGGUUCUUAAAAAAUUAGACGCAGACUUCUAAAAGUGGGUCGGGUCCGGGGUCCAUGCCCAUCCCUAGUCCGCUGCGUGUAGUUCUCGUUGUUAUUUUUUUAAUGUUUAUUUCAUGCUUAAUCUUUCUAGGUUUGCAUCAAUUACUAUAAACGAAAAUUGCUGUGUUCAUCUCAUCUAGCACGUUCUGGUCCUGGAUUUAAUAUGCUAGAUGCUAAAGUUAGAUUGAGUCUCCAAUCAAAUGUUAUAGGGAUUUCUCUGCAUUCGCUGGUGUCAGGCCACAAUACUUCUGACCCUUCUUACUAAUGCUCUGGGAAAGCCUUGUUGGCGGCACUGGGGUUAUGGUGACAUGCUUUUUUUUUCGGUUGAAAUCUUCUUAAAACCUUGGGGUUUCAGGAAGCAAUUCAAACUUACUUGAGUUUGAAUAAAUGUUUUCUACUUACGUAAAUGAUUUCUUGGUGAUAUGGAAAUUCUAACUUAUGCCCUUCACUAUGCGAAACAUUCCUGUCACUCUCAGGAGAAAUCAUUCAUGGAGAUUGUGCAAGAUGCAGAAUCAAAUGUGGGACAAAUCUCUUUAGUAGAGAAGAAAGCGGACCACUUUUUGCCGAGUUUGAAAGGGGCCAUAGACACAAUGGAAUGUGAUGGUCUGGAGCUAGAUGGAGAAGCUAUUACAUUUGAGGAAAGCUCUAAUGGGUCUUCACACUGUGGUUCUGAUUUGAAUGACCAGAAGUUGUCUGGGGCUGUUCUUGAUUAUGAUGAUGAUAACCUUGAGGAACAGGUCCUAUGUAAAGAAGCUUGCCUUGAUUUUCAGAACUCACAUGUAGAUGUGAACACAAUUGACUGUGAGCCCCUUUCUGAAAAUAAAGAUGAAGAGUUGUCUAUAUCAGUAUCCAAGUGGCCAGAACAAGAUGAAUCUCUGGCAUUAUGGGUUAAGUGGCGAGGGAAGUGGCAAGCAGGAAUCAAAUGCGAGAGGGCUGACUGGCCAUUAGCAACUGUGAAAGCAAAACCAACUCAUGACAGGAAGAGUUAUAUUGUUAUAUUCUUUCCGCACAAAAAGCAUUAUUCUUGGGCUGAUACAUUGCUUGUAUGUGCAAUUGAUGAGCUUCCACAACCUAUUGCACACCGGUCACAUAGAGUUGGAGUUCAACUGGUUGAAGAUUUGACUGUUGCACGCCGCUUUAUCAUGAAAAAGAUAGUAAUUGGCGUGUUGAAUAUUGUUGACCAGCUUCCUGUUCAGGUGUUGGUUGAAACUGCUCGUGAUGUAGUUGUAUGGAGGGAAUUUGCUGCGGAGGCUUCUCGCUGUAAAAGUUAUCCUGACCUUGGAAGAUUGCUCUUGAAUCUUCGAAAUAUGCUGUUACAGAAGUACAUUGAUGCUAACUGGCUGCGGCAUUCUCUCCACCUGUGGGUUGAAAAAUGCAAGAAUGCUCUUAGUGCUGAUUCCAUUGAACUUCUGAAGGAGGAACUAGUGAAUUCUAUUUUGUGGAAUGAAGUUAACAGCCUCCGAGAUACUCAGGGUCCACCUGCAUUAGGUUGUGAGUGGAAGAUGUGGAAGCAUGAAGUAAUGAAAAGUUUCUCAAUCACAAAUUCAGCGGCAAGUGGUGGAGUUAUAGAUCAGCCAAGCAAAAAUGGCAUACAACAUAUCAGUGUAAGUCCAUCGAUGACAAGUCUUCCAAUUAGUCGGAAGAGACCUAAGCUUGAAGUUCGCCGAGCAGAGUCACAUAACUCAGUAGUUGAAAAUAAGAGCUGUCAGGAAAAUGCUGUUUUUGAGAUUGACUCUGCAUUUUUUACUGGUCAGAGCACUAUGACUGCCGAGAAUGCUCUUUUGCCUCCUGAAGAGGCACUCUUUGGCCCAAGAAUUGUGCAAACCACCUCGCAGAGCAAUGCCUUGAACAGAUGGGAUCAGGUUGUGGCUGAUACUUCAAAUACAGAGUCAACCGAGAAAGAAGAUGGUAAAUUGCAACCUAUUAAUGGAGUGCUUGAGGCAAAAUCCGCAUCUGCUAAAGUUAAGAAUCGGCAAUGCAUUGCUUUUAUCGAGGCUAAGGGAAGACAAUGUGUCAGGUGGGCCAAUGAUGGCGAUGAUUACUGUUGUGUUCAUUUGGCGUCUCGUUUUGUAGCGCAUACAGUCAAAACAGAGGUCACUUCCCCUGCUGAAGCAUAUAUGUGUCAAGGAACUACCACUCAAGGUACCAGGUGCAAACAUCGCUCUCUUCCAGGUACCUCAUUUUGUAAAAAACACCGCCCCCAUGAUGAUGGAACGAUACCUCCAAGUUCACCUGGAAGUCAGCUGAAGAGAAAGCAUGAUGAGCUUCUAGACAUGUCCGAGUACACAUCUAAGGAUGUUGUCAUGGUUCAGGUAGCUCAAAGAUCUCCCAAAGAGCAUUUGACCACACCUAUGGAGGGAAAUGCCUCUAAUGAAGGGAAAAGUGUUAUCGCAAUGGCUGAACAAUUUGUUGAGGGUUCUAACACUAAGGAUAUAGACAUAGCUUUCUGUGUCGGAUUGGGUAUGCAUGAGGGUCCUGCUAGUUGUCUAGAAAUCCCCAAGCGUCAUUCAUUGUACUGUGAGAAGCAUAUACCAAGCUGGCUGAAACGUGCUAGAAAUGGUAAGAGUAGGAUAAUCUCAAAAGAAGUAUUUGUGGAUCUUCUGAGGACAUGUUCUUCCCAGAAGCAAAAAGUGCAUUUGCAUCAAGCAUGUGAACUUUUCUACAAGCUCCUGAAAAGCAUAUUAUCCUUGAGAAACCAAGUUCCUAAAGAGAUUCAAUUUCAGUGGGCGAUUUCUGAAGCUUCUAAAGAUCUACAUGUUGCUGAACUUUUAAUUAAGUUGGUUUCCACAGAAAAAGAGAGGCUCACAAGGAUAUGGGGGUUUAAUCUGGACAAGGAUGCACAAGUUUCCUCCUCUGCUGUGGAUGAACAAGCUCUGGUGCCUUUUGAAGAGGAGGCUGAUGAUGAUGGAAGUUUCAAGUGUAAAAUUUGCUCUGAAGAGUUCUCUGAUGAUCAAGCACUUGGAACUCACUGGAUUGAUAGUCAUAAUAAGGAAGCACAAUGGCUUUUUAGGGGAUAUGCUUGCGCAAUUUGUCUUGAUUCUUUCACAAACAGGAAGGUUCUUGAGACACAUGUACAGGAUAGACACCAUGCUCAGUUUGUUGAGCACUGCAUGCUUAUCCAGUGUAUUCCUUGUGGUAGCCAUUUUGGUAAUCCUGAGGAGCUAUGGUCACAUGUUCUUUCUGUUCAUACAGAGGGUUUUAGACAGUCAAAAAGUGGGAACAACGGUCACCAAUAUGUGGGUUCGCAGCAUAAACCUAUUCCAUUGAAAUCUGCCUGUGUUGAUAAUUCUGAGAGUCAGAGCAGUGUACGAAAGUAUAUUUGUAGAUUUUGCGAGUUGAAGUUUGAUCUGCUACCUGAUUUAGGUCGGCACCAUCAAGCAGCUCAUAUGGGACCAAGUUUGGUCAACUCUCGUCCAAAAAAGAAAGGUCUCCGCUUUUAUGCUUAUAGACUAAAGUCAGGAAGACUAAGCCGUCCUCGAUUAAAAAAGGGUCUUGGUGGAGUAUCUUAUAGACUCAGAAAUAAGGGCAGCAUAGGUUUAAAGAAACGAUUACAGCCUGUUAAUCCUAUAGGUGCUGGAGGAAUAAAUGUGCAGUCACAUGUAAUGGAUACUGCAAGUCUAGUUAGACUAACCGAGGGUCAGUGCUCAGCUAUUGCAAAAAUGUUGUCAUCUGAAGCUCAGAAAACAAGAGCUCGCCCUAGUAAUCAUGAAAUCAUAUCUAUUGCUCGCUCUGCUUGCUGCAAGGUUAGCGUUCAGAAGUCUCUGGAGGAGCAAUAUGGAGAAUUACCUGAACGCUUACACUUAAAAGCUGCUAAGCUUUGCAGUGAACAUAAUACUCCAGUAGAUUGGCAUCAGGAGGGGUUUAAAUGUUCGAAAGGAUGCAAACCAAUGGAAGAUCAAAAUUUCGGGUCAGUUAUUCCUUGUCCCAUUAAUGACAAUGGAAUGUUUAAAACAUUUUCGUCAAACCCAGAACAGGAGGAUUGUGAAAUGGAUGAGUGUCACUUUGUCUUACAUCCACCACAAUUUAGGUGGAGGCAUUUGCAGACGACUAUUAUCUUGUGUGAUGAUAUAAGUUUUGGACAAGAAAGGGUGCGAAUUCCUUGUGUUGUAGACAAAAACCUGAUAGAAUCACUUCAUAAUCCGACAUUUGGCUUUGAUGGGAAAGUUAUUUUCAUGCCCUGGGAGAGCUUUACAUAUAAGACUAAGCCACUAUACAAAAAACCUCUUGAUGUCAAUAUGCAGUUAGGGUGUGGCUGUUCACUUUCAACUUGCUGUCCUGAGACAUGUGAUCAUGUCUACCUGUUCAACAAUGACUAUGAGUAUGCAAAGGAUAUAGAUGGAAAGCUCAUGGAAGGAAGACUCCCUUAUGAUGAUAAAGGCCGACUUGUUCUUGAGGAUAAUUAUCUUGUCUACGAAUGCAAUAACUUGUGUCAGUGCAGUAGCAAAUGCAGAAAUAGGGUUUUGCAGAACGGGAUUAGAGUGAAAAUGGAAGUGUACAAAACAGAGAAGAAGGGUUGGGCAGUCCGAGCCUGUGAAACAAUUUUGCGUGGUACCUUUGUAUGUGAAUAUGUUGGUGAAGUUUUAGAUAAACAGGAAGCCAAUCAAAGGCGCAAAAGGUGCGGAAAAGAAGGCUAUGAUUAUUUUAUUGACAUGGAUACCCAUAUACAGCACUUGAAUGCAGUGACGGAAGGGCAAGUCAACUAUGUCAUUGAUGCCACGAGAUAUGGAAACAUUUCGCGGCUCAUAAAUCACAGCUGCUGUCCAAACCUUGAAAGUCACCUUGUUCUUGUGGAAAGCAUGGAUUUUCAACUUGCCCAUGUUGGUUUCUAUGCAAAGCAAAAUAUAGCUGCUGGGGAAGAACUGUGUUAUGACUAUCACUACGAGCUACAGGCUGGAGAUGGAUUCCCCUGCUUGUGCGGAGCUUCUAAUUGUAGGGGUCGCCUUCACUGACGAGUGAUGAUAAUAUUAUCAUCGAUUAGGCAGUCAAUUCGUACCAAUGAAGCUGCUUCGAAGGGCCUUUGAUAUGGAGUUUGUGGUUGUACUGCUAACUCUUCCAUUGACUUCUUGGGCAGAGCUGACUGAUCCCUUGUUUGGAGCGUAUGAUGCCUUCUUCUUCUUUGCAGGAUCGAAAGGGCAAAUUAAUGGCUCCGGCGAGAUCGGAAUAACAGAAUGUUCAAGUUGUGGCAUGUAGAAGAGUUUGUACUUUCGUGCAGAGAUACUGGAGAUAACAAGUCAGUUAUUUGUAUGUUGAAUCAUCAGGGGAUAGUUUGUUUCAUUGUACAUUUGCAGAAAGAUGUGAUUUUGGAGGAUUGUUUUACAUGCUUUCAUUGCACGUUUGCAGAAAGGUGUGCAGUUUCAGUUGUUAACCCUGCUUUUACACACUUUUAUACUUAUACUUAUCUCUCCCUCCCAUUUUAUACUCCAUUUGUCUCCCAAUAAAUUUCCCAUUUUUCCA
Beta vulgaris subsp. vulgaris (sugar beet) is the source of this 6119-nucleotide RNA transcript. It is a transcript of the gene named histone-lysine N-methyltransferase SUVR5, with no coding region annotated. The record is from RefSeq and is a predicted model, not a curated record. NCBI's taxonomy places the organism in Eukaryota, Viridiplantae, Streptophyta, Magnoliopsida, Caryophyllales, Amaranthaceae. The transcript is spliced from 12 exons.